AAACUGGGUCUAAUACUGGAUGCUACAUGUCACCGCAUGGUGGUGUGUGGAAAGGGUUUACUGGUCUUGGAUGGGCUCACGGCCUAUCAGCUUGUUGGUGAGGUAAUGGCUCACCAAGGCGACGACGGGUAGCCGGCCUGAGAGGGUGACCGGCCACACUGGGACUGAGACACGGCCCAGACUCCUACGGGAGGCAGCAGUGGGGAAUAUUGCACAAUGGGCGAAAGCCUGAUGCAGCGACGCCGCGUGAGGGAUGACGGCCUUCGGGUUGUAAACCUCUUUCAGCAGGGAAGAAGCCACAAGUGACGGUACCUGCAGAAGAAGCGCCGGCUAACUACGUGCCAGCAGCCGCGGUAAUACGUAGGGCGCAAGCGUUGUCCGGAAUUAUUGGGCGUAAAGAGCUCGUAGGCGGUUUGUCGCGUCUGCUGUGAAAGCCCGGGGCUUAACCCCGGGUGUGCAGUGGGUACGGGCAGACUAGAGUGCAGUA
RNAcentral lists this ribosomal RNA (487 nucleotides) under Kocuria sp. L7-48. RNAcentral's name for it is "bacterial SSU rRNA". It matches the Rfam family "Bacterial small subunit ribosomal RNA", at positions 154 to 653 of the family's 1533-position model. Lineage: Bacteria; Bacillati; Actinomycetota; Actinomycetes; Micrococcales; Micrococcaceae. The record is from RNAcentral.